Molecule: transfer RNA, 74 nt
Organism: Ipomoea nil (Japanese morning glory)
Lineage: Eukaryota; Viridiplantae; Streptophyta; Magnoliopsida; Solanales; Convolvulaceae
Rfam family: tRNA
About the family: Transfer RNA (tRNA) molecules are approximately 80 nucleotides in length. Their secondary structure includes four short double-helical elements and three loops (D, anti-codon, and T loops). Further hydrogen bonds mediate the characteristic L-shaped molecular structure. tRNAs have two regions of fundamental functional importance: the anti-codon, which is responsible for specific mRNA codon recognition, and the 3' end, to which the tRNAs corresponding amino acid is attached (by aminoacyl-tRNA synthetases). tRNAs cope with the degeneracy of the genetic code in two manners: having more than one tRNA (with a specific anti-codon) for a particular amino acid; and 'wobble' base-pairing, i.e. permitting non-standard base-pairing at the 3rd anti-codon position.
Source: Rfam
GUUUGUGUGGUGUAGUUGGUUAUCACACUAGUCUUAUAGACUGGAGGUCCCCAAUUCAAACCUGGGCUCAGACA